GAUUAACGCUGGCGGCGUGCCUAACACAUGCAAGUCGAGCGGCAGCGAGUUUUCCACUGAAUUCUGGAAGCUUCUAGUUGAAAGAGAAGAUUUAUUCAAGAAUUUUGUGUAAAAUGUCGGCGAGCGGCGGACGGCUGAGUAACGCGUGGGAACGUACCCCAAAGUGAGGGAUAACGCAUCGAAAGGUGUGCUAAUACCGCAUAUGGUCUUCGGAUUAAAGCCUUCGGGCGCUUUGGGAACGGCCUGCGUAAGAUUAGAUAGUUGGUGGGGUAAUGGCCUACCAAGUCGACGAUCUGUAACUGGUUUGAGAGGAUGAUCAGUCAGACUGGAACUGAGACACGGUCCAGACUCCUACGGGAGGCAGCAGUGAGGAAUCUUCCACAAUGGGCGAAAGCCUGAUGGAGCAACGCCGCGUGCAGGAUGAAGGCCUUCGGGUUGUAAACUGCUUUUAUAAGUGAGGAUUAUGACAGUAACUUAUGAAUAAGGAUCGGCUAACUACGUG
RNAcentral lists this ribosomal RNA (502 nucleotides) under uncultured bacterium. RNAcentral describes it as "partial 16S ribosomal RNA". It matches the Rfam family "Bacterial small subunit ribosomal RNA", at positions 28 to 507 of the family's 1533-position model. The record is from RNAcentral.